Molecule: long non-coding RNA, 288 nt
Organism: Hyposmocoma kahamanoa
Lineage: Eukaryota; Metazoa; Arthropoda; Insecta; Lepidoptera; Cosmopterigidae
Exons: 3
Source: RefSeq, a predicted model, not a curated record
UAUCUUAACGAGAAACAUCUGAAUGACAUAUCGUCUGUCGCGCGGCUAUUCUACACAUGCCCCAACGAGAUCCUGUUGAGUACGGGCGACGUUUGCAACGAGAUGUACAUCAUCAAACAAGGCAAAUGCGAGGUUUUAAGUCCCGACACUAUGGAAGUCGUCGAUGUCAUAGGUUCUAAAACACAUUUCGGAGUCCUAGAAUGCUUAUUGCGUAUUCCAGCUUUUUAUACAGUGCGUGCAGUGACACACGUGCAAGUGUUGCGUAUACACAACAAAGACCUGGGUAGC